This 1162-nucleotide unclassified non-coding RNA is filed under the name Penaeus japonicus. Its description in RNAcentral is "ninjurin-1-like, transcript variant X2". Lineage: Eukaryota; Metazoa; Arthropoda; Malacostraca; Decapoda; Penaeidae. The record is from RNAcentral.
UAUAUAUAUAUAUAUAUAUAUGCAUAUAUACACACACAACUACAUAAGCAAAAGCACGGAUAUGAAGCCGAGAUAAGCGGCAGAACCGAAGCAGUUGCGAAGACAGGAAACCGUAUCAUGAGCUAUCGCCCUAUACACGUGGCCAACACACCUGCCUUCAUUAUCAUGGCCAGCGACACCGCAUUGUGCUGGCGGGCGUGUUGCUGAUCGUGCACGAGCGCUUCGACAUGAACGACGACAAGGAGAGUCACACGGGGGACUUCUUCAACAACCUCAUCGUCGCGCUCAUCUUCGCCGUCCUCAUCAUCAACGUCUUCGUCGCGAGCUUCGGGGUGGACAUCGCACCGCCGCCCGGCUACGUGUCGCCGACGCCGUACCCGAAUUACUUACCUGGGAAGGGGCACUGACCUUUGACCUCGUCUCUGAGCUCGAUGGUUGUUGAGCAUGGAUCGACUUUUGGUUCUCUUUCUCUUCCUCCUUCUUCUUUGCCUUCUCUUUCGCCUUGUCCUUCUCCUCUUUCUCAUAUUUCUGCUUCUCCUUCUCCUUUCUUUUCUUCUUCUUCCUUCUCCCUCUUUUCUGAUCGCCCUUCUCCUUUUUCCUUUUCGUCUUCUUGUCAUCCUUUGCAAACACAUCCUACAGUCAUUGCAGACGCGUUCGCCUUUCCUGCAGUAACUUGCAAACAUCGAAGUACGGUCGUCACGAAGCUUUGUUUACUUCCAAGUUCUGUUUUUUCUUUCGUAUUUAAAGGAUCUUUUUCAUAAUCUUUAUAUAAGCAGAAUGCAGUGCUGGUCCUCGAACAAUCCUUUAUAUCGUCUGUAAAUCGGUUCUAACCAAAAUCUAAGCACAAAGUAGUUCAGGGUAUUGUAUAAAUUUGAAAGGAAUACUGACGAAUGAAAUAAGUGGUUGAACAAUUUGUGUACUUUUGUGUAAUGUAUGUUAUGAUGAUAAGGAAAUGUGUAAUUUUAGUAUAUUGUUAUGUAGAUAUCAAGUAAGUAGGACACACACACGCGAAUUGUGAGUUGAUGAUAUAUGUAUAGGGAGAUAGAAUAAAUUUGAUGUUCGACUUAAAUUAAGGAUAUUUAUUUUUCAUAUUUUUACCGUUAUGUUAAGUAGCAAAUUGUAGCAGAAUAAGACACUUUUUACAACUAAAUUUUUUAAUAUG